This 225-nucleotide long non-coding RNA is filed under the name Eucalyptus grandis. Its description in RNAcentral is "long non-coding RNA (EGRA_LNC003515)". The record is from RNAcentral. Lineage: Eukaryota; Viridiplantae; Streptophyta; Magnoliopsida; Myrtales; Myrtaceae.
UCUCUUUCGGUUUACGAGACUCUGUGUCUAUUGUUGUGAAAAGGAUAUCACCAAGUCGCGAGUAGCCAUAGUUAUGUAUAGUUCACACCAAACCACCUUUUCAGGAGAGAAUCAGCCUGUGGUGAAACCAAGUCUCCUAAGCGCUUCAUCAUUGACGCCAUGAGGAAUGACUUCCACCAAAAUUUUUUGCAGAGAUACAUGAAGUAGUUGUUUAAAGCUAAGAAG